CGAAUUCGCCCUUCCUACGGGAGGCAGCAGUGGGGAAUAUUGCGCAAUGGGCGGAAGCCUGACGCAGCGACGCCGCGUGGGGGAUGACGGCCUUCGGGUUGUAAACCUCUUUCGACUUCGACGAAGCCUUUCGGGGUGACGGUAGGGGCGGAAGAAGCACCGGCCAACUACGUGCCAGCAGCCGCGGUAACACGUAGGGUGCGAGCGUUGUCCGGAAUUAUUGGGCGUAAAGAGCUCGUAGGCGGUGUGUCGCGUCGGCCGUGAAAACUUGCAGCUUAACUGUGGGCGUGCGGUCGAUACGGGCAUCACUGGAGUUCGGCAGGGGAGACUGGAAUUCCUGGUGUAGCGGUGAAAUGCGCAGAUAUCAGGAGGAACACCGGUGGCGAAGGCGGGUCUCUGGGCCGAUACUGACGCUGAGGAGCGAAAGCGUGGGGAGCGAACAGGAUUAGAUACCCUGGUAGUCCACGCUGUAAACGUUGGGCGCUAGGUGUGGGGACCAUUCCACGGUUUCUGUGCCGCAGCUAACGCAUUAAGCGCCCCGCCUGGGGAGUACGGCCGCAAGGCUAAAACUCAAAGGAAUUGACGG
Molecule: ribosomal RNA, 586 nt
Filed under: uncultured Actinomycetes bacterium
Lineage: Bacteria; Bacillati; Actinomycetota; Actinomycetes
Description: bacterial SSU rRNA
Rfam family: Bacterial small subunit ribosomal RNA
Source: RNAcentral